GGCGGGGUCGUAGCGCAGAGGCAGGCGCGCGGUCUCCAAAACCGGAUCACGCUGGUUCGAAUCCAGCCGCCCCGCCG
RNAcentral lists this transfer RNA (77 nucleotides) under Streptomyces sp. Its description in RNAcentral is "tRNA-Trp". It matches the Rfam family "tRNA". Rfam says of the family: Transfer RNA (tRNA) molecules are approximately 80 nucleotides in length. Lineage: Bacteria; Bacillati; Actinomycetota; Actinomycetes; Kitasatosporales; Streptomycetaceae. The record is from RNAcentral.